UAAUAUUAGGUGAGAUAAUAUCAGACCAAAGAGGAACUAUUUCCUCUGAGAAUAUAUAGGAAGUCAAUAAAAGAAGUAUGUCACAUAUUUAAGUUUGACAAUGUUAGACCUAUAAGCUGUAAUCUCAUUCUAUUAGUGGGUUUUAACUUUCUUAAGGAAUCUCACUUUUUUCUUAUAAACACCUAAUUUUGUCCAGGCCUUCUAAUGCUCUGAAGAAUGCUGACACAAUAUGGUUUAUUCUGUCUGGAUGUGUGUUAUAUCACGUUGCCCCCUACUGAUCAAGAGACACUGGGAUACGUGAGCCAAUCACUAGGACACCCAUCAGUGAAACAAGCAAGAUGGCUUAGCCAGAUAUCCACUGCUAGCCUCUAUACAAGAGGUCAAAAUAGAAGUCUUUAUGGCACUAACAAUUUAUUAUUAAAGCAAUGAACAUCACAAAUGUUUGGCAGGUGAUACAAUGAGUUAUUUCUCUAUUCAUUUUCUUGAAGGUCAAAAUUAAUUUAAGAAGACAAUCUUGUAAGGUGAGAAUAGUUUCAAAUUAUAUUGAAUUCCCCUUGGAUCAAUUGAACAAUUUCUCCUUGGAGCUCUGACAAGUCAAGAGUUUGGAUGUCCUCACUCCCAUCCUCACAACAAGAUAUAAGUGGAAUAAUCUGAAAAUCAAGGACUUUUCUUGGAUCUAUUAGGGACCUGAGAUUGUAGAGCAAAUCACCACCCCGAUCUGCAACGACAGGAGAAUGCAGAGAAUCACAGUGAAAUCAGCUUAUCUGGAGUAGAAGCCACUGAAGCCAUAAACCAGUAGGAACACUAAAAUGAUCAUUUUGACAACUUGCUAAAGGCUGACUAUGAACUAGCAUGAGAAUAGAAAACUUCCAGAGACCACAUUCUUGGAGGAGAAGCACACUUUUAUGACUUUUAUCUCCAGGGACCCCAAUAGGUUCUUAUGAUGAAUAGCCAAGAAAAUCUCUUUCAUGUUUCUGGGGGAGAGAUGGGGAGAAAUGACCACUUCGAAGUAUACCCAGAGCAUUUGCUGCAACAAAGGCCCACUGCUUAUGGGAAAAGACUUUCAGAGGCUUAUUCACCCCUGGGAGGAAGGCAGUUACCCAACUUCAGCACCCUCUAGACUUCCCUCUAGACUUCCUGUCUUAACUAAUUGUAGAUUACAGUUAAGACACACUUGUGAAGCUCACAUCCUAGGGACAUAGGCCUCCAAAAAGACUGGGAUUUAAUCAUGAGAUUAGAGAAGGCUUGCUUUCUUCCACACUUUACCACCAAAUCAACAGGGUUCCAAAAUCAUAACAGUGGAUUGCAGCUGAAAGAGCUAUAAGGCACAGACUUUAUUUAAGAAGGAGUCUUUAGGGAAAUUUAAAGACUACAGAAGAGGCAAAAAUAAGGACCCUAGAGAAAACUGGAGUCUCUGACACCUUCAGUUACAGCAAACAUUAACCCAGUCCAACUUCUAGCCAGAUUAACAUAAAACAUCACACUAAAGAUGUAUUCACCUCAGUACCCAUUACAUCUGGCUUUUAACAACAAAAUAAUUACAAGAUGUGCUAAAAAGAAAGACAAAUUUUGAAGAGACAAAGCAAAUGUCAGAAUCAGAUAUGACACAAAUUUGAAAUCAUCAGGGAAUUUAAAAUAUAGUUCAUAUGCUAGGGCUGUACCAGUAAAAGCAGACAACAUGCAAGAACUAAUGAAUCUGACAUAAGCAGAAAGAUGAAAACUGAAAAGAAUAAAAAGGAAAUGUUAGAAAUUUAAAAAACUGUAGCAGAAAUGCAGAAUACCUUUGAUGGGAUCCUCAGGAGAUUGGAUACAUCUGAGGAAAUAGUUAAUGAGCUUGAAGAUAAUGUCAAUAAAAUUUCACAAACUGAAAUGGGGAGAAAAAAGAGUGGAACAAACAGAACAGAAAAUCCAGGAACGUUGGGACAAUUUCAAGUGGUGUAACACUUAUAUAAUUGGAGUACCAGAAGGAAAAGAAAGAGAAGAAGUUUUGAAGUAAUCAUGGCUGAAAAGUUUCCAAAAUUAAUGGUAUACACUAAACAACAGGUCCAGGAAGCCCAGCAAACACCAAGUAGGAUAAAUAUCAAAAAAUCUGUUCCUAGGCAUUUAAUUUUCAAGCUACAGAAAACCAAAGACAAAAAGAAAAUAUUGAAAGAAAUGGAGAAAAAAAAAAACACACUUUACCUGUAGGAGAUAAAGGAUAAUAAUCACAUGCAACUUCUUGUCAGAAGCCAUGCAAGGAAGAAGAGAGUGAAAUAAAAUAUUUAAAAGGGUCAAAAGAAAAAGACCACGGAUCAAGAAUUCUGUAUCCAGUGGGAUUAUCCUCUACAAGUAAAGGAGAAUUAAAGAUGUUUUUGGAUAAACAAAAGCUAAGGAAAUUCAUCAGUAGACCUGGACUGUCAAAAGUUUUCAGGAAGAAGGAAAGAAUGUUGGUCGUAAAUUUGGAUGUGCAUAAAGAAAGAAAAAAAUAAUAGAAAGAAUGAAUAAGACCUACUAUUUGAUAGCACAAUAUGGUGACUAUAGUCAAUAAUAACUUAAUUGUACAUUCUAAAAUAACUUAAAGGGUAUAACAGGAUCAUUUUUACCUCAAAGGGUAAAUGUUUGGGGGAUGGAUACCCCACUCCCAUGAUGUGAUUAUUAUGCAUUCCAUGCCUGUACAACCUCAUGUACCCCAUAAAUAUAUGCACCUAUGUACCCACAAAAAUGAAAAGAAAUUAAAAAUCAUUUUAAAAAAGAGCAUCAGAGAAGGAAUAAAUGAAGGUAAAAUAAUUUUUGUCUUAGUUGAUCUAGUAUUCAGAGUGGUAAUAGUAACAACAUAUUGGGUAAUUAUAGGAUAUGGAUAAAUAAAAGAAGUAGCAGCAAUGUUAUAAGAAACAGGAAAGAGGAAGUAGGAAUUCUUUGUUAUAAGUUGCUUGCAUUACCUGUGGGGUGGUAUAGUGUUAUUCAAAAGGGGACUUAAAU
RNAcentral lists this long non-coding RNA (2958 nucleotides) under Homo sapiens (human). RNAcentral's name for it is "HSALNT0159730". Lineage: Eukaryota; Metazoa; Chordata; Mammalia; Primates; Hominidae. The record is from RNAcentral.